ACUUGACGGUUUACCUUAAACCCUCAAGUGCUUUUAAAAUUUUCUGUCAUAAAUAUCUGCUAAAGUAUGAUGUGUUCAUAUGUAAUCAAAAGAGAUUUUUGUUGUUUGAUUGAUGUAGAUAAU
Xenia sp. Carnegie-2017 is the source of this 123-nucleotide long non-coding RNA. RefSeq lists it as uncharacterized. The transcript is spliced from 3 exons. NCBI's taxonomy places the organism in Eukaryota, Metazoa, Cnidaria, Anthozoa, Malacalcyonacea, Xeniidae. The record is from RefSeq and is a predicted model, not a curated record.